AGUCGAACGAACCCUUCGGGGUGAGUGGCGCACGGGUGCGUAACGCGUGGGAACCUGCCUUUAGGUUCGGAAUAACUCAGAGAAAUUUGAGCUAAUACCGGAUAAUGUCUUCGGACCAAAGAUUUAUCGCCUUUAGAUGGGCCCGCGUUAGAUUAGAUAGUUGGUGGGGUAAUGGCCUACCAAGUCGACGAUCUAUAGCUGGUCUGAGAGGAUGAUCAGCCACACUGGGACUGAGACACGGCCCAGACUCCUACGGGAGGCAGCAGUGGGGAAUAUUGGACAAUGGGCGAAAGCCUGAUCCAGCAAUGCCGCGUGAGUGAUGAAGGCCUUAGGGUUGUAAAGCUCUUUUACUAGGGAUGAUAAUGACAGUACCUAGAGAAUAAGCUCCGGCUAACUCCGUGCCAGCAGCCGCGGUAAUACGGAGGGAGCUAGCGUUGUUCGGAAUUACUGGGCGUAAAGAGAACGUAGGCGGCUAUCCAAGUCAGGGGUGAAAUCCCGGGGCUCAACCCCGGAACUGCCCUUGAAACUAGGUAGCUAGAAUUCUGGAGAGGUUAGUGGAAUUCCGAGUGUAGAGGUGAAAUUCGUAGAUAUUCGGAAGAACACCAGUGGCGAAGGCGACUGACUGGACAGAUAUUGACGCUGAGGUUCGAAAGCGUGGGGGAGCAAAC
Molecule: ribosomal RNA, 668 nt
Filed under: Erythrobacter sp. AU444_Ted1_MB20SE
Lineage: Bacteria; Pseudomonadati; Pseudomonadota; Alphaproteobacteria; Sphingomonadales; Erythrobacteraceae
Description: bacterial SSU rRNA
Rfam family: Bacterial small subunit ribosomal RNA
Source: RNAcentral